CACGUAGGGUGCGAGCGUUGUCCGGAAUUAUUGGGCGUAAAGAGCUCGUAGGCGGUGUGUCACGUCGGCCGUGAAAACCUGCAGCUUAACUGUGGGCGUGCGGUCGAUACGGGCAGGCUAGAGUUCGGUAGGGGAGUCUGGAAUUCCUGGUGUAGCGGUGAAAUGCGCAGAUAUCAGGAGGAACACCGGUGGCGAAGGCGGGACUCUGGGCCGAUACUGACGCUGAGGAGCGAAAGCGUGGGGAGCGAACAGG
This 253-nucleotide ribosomal RNA is filed under the name uncultured bacterium. RNAcentral describes it as "partial 16S ribosomal RNA". It matches the Rfam family "Bacterial small subunit ribosomal RNA", at positions 524 to 776 of the family's 1533-position model. The record is from RNAcentral.